Molecule: ribosomal RNA, 459 nt
Filed under: uncultured bacterium
Lineage: Bacteria
Description: partial 16S ribosomal RNA
Rfam family: Bacterial small subunit ribosomal RNA
Source: RNAcentral
CCUACGGGUGGCAGCAGUGAGGAAUAUUGGUCAAUGGGCGCGAGCCUGAACCAGCCAAGUCGCGUGAGGGAAGACGGUCCUAUGGAUUGUAAACCUCUUUUGUCGGGGAGCAAAAGACGCCACGCGUGGCGUUCCGAGAGUACCCGAAGAAAAAGCAUAGGCUAACUCCGUGCCAGCAGCCGCGGUAAUACGGAGGAUGCGAGCGUUAUCCGGAUUUAUUGGGUUUAAAGGGUGCGCAGGCGGAAGAUCAAGUCAGUGGUAAAAUUGAGAGGCUCAACCUCUUCGAGCCGUUGAAACUGGUUUGCUUGAGUGAGCGAGAGGUAUGCGGAAUGCGUGGUGUAGCGGUGAAAUGCAUAGAUAUCACGCAGAACUCCGAUUGCGAAGGCAGCAUACCGGCGCUCAACUGACGCUCAGGCACGAAAGUGUGGGUAUCGAACAGGAUUAGAUACCCGUGUAGUC